UGGGGAAUAUUGGACAAUGGGGGCAACCCUGAUCCAGCGAUGCCGCGUGUGUGAAGAAGGCCUGCGGGUUGUAAAGCACUUUAGUUGGGGAGGAUUGCGUUGUGGUUGAAAGACUAUAGCGUUGACGUUACCCAAAGAAUAAGCACCGGCAAACUCUGUGCCAGCAGCCGCGGUAAUACAGAGGGUGCAAGCGUUAAUCGGAAUUACUGGGCGUAAAGGGCGCGUAGGUUGUUAUACAAGUCAGAUGUGAAAGCCCUGGGCUUAACCUGGGAAUGGCAUUUGAAACUGUAAGACUAGAGUGAAGUAGAGGGUAGCGGAAUUUCCGGUGUAGCGGUGAAAUGCGUAGAUAUCGGAAGGAACACCAGUGGCGAAGGCGGCUACCUGGACUUCAACUGACACUGAGGCGCGAAAGCGUGGGUAGCGAACAGGAUUAGAUACCCCAGUAGUCCCUGAGCGGGCUGGCAAGGCGCAU
RNAcentral lists this ribosomal RNA (472 nucleotides) under uncultured bacterium. RNAcentral's name for it is "bacterial SSU rRNA". It matches the Rfam family "Bacterial small subunit ribosomal RNA", at positions 355 to 825 of the family's 1533-position model. The record is from RNAcentral.